GGUAGAUGUCACAUUUGUAUUCUGUUGAGCCUUAUUGUUAGCUCACACCCAAGAAAUAUUUAAAUGAGUAAGUAACACAUGCUCACAUUCCUGGAUGAAUAUGGACCCUUUUGAGUAACAGAGCAUGCCAUCCCCCACACACUGCAGCGGAUGCUAUGGCUGCCAUGGGAGCUGGAUUUGAACCUGUGGAAAGAUGAUACUGACAACCAGAAAAAGGCUUCCUCACUGGGGACGGGGACUCUGUAUCAUCAUUGGCAAACAAUUCUUCCGUUAGCUUUGUGACUCCUGAUGUUUAAAGUGGAACGGCCUCUCUUAGGAAGGAACCACUGAUGGAGGAGGGCAGGGAGGACAUCUGUUUUAUCAUCACCUCCUGGGACAGGCUUUGAUACCAACAAGUCCUGCAGUUCUCAACUAAUGCAAGUCAGUUCCAGUGUCGGCCCUGAGACUUCCAGAACCCACGGCGUCAGAGCUGGAGCACCAGAAGUACCACUCAGAACAAGUCAGGCCUAACUCAGAAGGAGGCUUCUGGAUGUGUAUGAAGCUGCAGCGGGGUGGCAGACUGAAUUCAACAGAAGCCACUCCAACUACCUUGUAAUAACCCUUUGAUGCCAAAAGAGAGAAAAAUUAAAA
This is a non-coding RNA of Heterocephalus glaber (naked mole-rat), 630 nucleotides long. The record is from RefSeq and is a predicted model, not a curated record. Lineage: Eukaryota; Metazoa; Chordata; Mammalia; Rodentia; Bathyergidae.